RNAcentral lists this long non-coding RNA (1157 nucleotides) under Homo sapiens (human). RNAcentral describes it as "HSALNT0303135". The record is from RNAcentral. Lineage: Eukaryota; Metazoa; Chordata; Mammalia; Primates; Hominidae.
UCAGCCUGGAGAGGACCACCCUGCUGGAAGGGUGUCCUGGGAAUGAAGUCCACGUAGGUGAGAACACACACCAGGGAUAUGUAGCUGGAUGGACUCAGCAGCCCUUGGGGAAUAAAGCCAGCUCAACUCAGCUGUACUUCUCACCACGUGGCAAAGGAUGGACCAAAGGCUGGGAGCAACUGGGAGUGUCUGGGACUGUGCCCCAAGGAAGCCACACAAACUGUGUAGCCAGACAGUCUGUCUGGGAGGAGAAGGAAGGAAUUUAUCUACCAGCUCCCAUCUCUCAUGGACCAAAUUCUUCCCCACUGUACAUAACUCCAUAUCACUUUCAGAUUGCAUAAGUUGUCUGCUGUUCUUUCGGGAGAGGGCUUGAAGGUUGAUUUUAGUUCCCUGUAACUGGAGGUGACAUGUGAAAGCUCAAAGCUAUUGAAAAGUUGCAAAGGCUUCCACACACAACUGCAGUAGGGAGGGCGCAGGAAGUGGGUCAACGCUUUUGGAGGACUGGGUGAAGUUCAGGAUCCUGAGGCCCUACUUUUUGGUCGCCCAGGGUGAGAGCUGAAUGUAGGCUCCAACAGGAAGACGGCAUUGAAGCCUGGUUGCUUGUUACUACUCAGAAUGCCAUCUACAAAAGGAAAUUAUGUAAAAAGCAAUAAAGAACCCCUUUUGUUCUUGCAGGAGUCAGUGUUUCAUAACUCUUUCUGUGAUAUCGUCUGUAUAAGUUGAACCUCUAAAGAACCUUAUCUAAGUUGCCACGACCUUACUCAUUACCCUCAAGAAAGAUGAACAAUUUAAAGGGGGAAAAAAGGAAGUGAAAAAAAUGGCGGAUACGAGGCAGAACUAACCUGCAGCUUCCACUCGAAGGGACAGAGCAGAGUGUGGAGACCCACAACUGGAACUUUUUCUCCAAGAACUACCACAGGAACAUACCAAGAAAGCCAAGAGAAUCCACAGAACCUUUGGAGGAAGUGGUUUGUCACUGCAGGCUCUGUGGGACAGCUGAGGAACUGCCAGCGUCCUCUUUCCUGUGUUGGUCACAUCCUCAAAUGCCUUUGGGGCUGGAUGAACAGUCGGCUUGUGGCUCAUUUCCCCAGACAAGACUCUGCUGCCUUGGACUUCUCUGGAACCUGUGUGGCUCCUCAAAUGAUGGCCAAAAUUCC